This 497-nucleotide ribosomal RNA is filed under the name uncultured bacterium. RNAcentral describes it as "partial 16S ribosomal RNA". It matches the Rfam family "Bacterial small subunit ribosomal RNA", at positions 28 to 507 of the family's 1533-position model. The record is from RNAcentral.
GAUGAACGCUGGCGGCGUGCCUAAUACAUGCAAGUCGAGCGAACGGACGAGAAGCUUGCUUCUCUGAUGUUAGCGGCGGACGGGUGAGUAACACGUGGAUAACCUACCUAUAAGACUGGGAUAACUUCGGGAAACCGGAGCUAAUACCGGAUGAUAUUUUGAACCGCAUGGUUCAAAAGUGAAAGACGGUCUUGCUGUCACUUAUAGAUGGAUCCGCGCUGCAUUAGCUAGUUGGUAAGGUAACGGCUUACCAAGGCAACGAUGCAUAGCCGACCUGAGAGGGUGAUCGGCCACACUGGAACUGGGACACGGUCCCGACUCCUACGGGAGGCAGCAGUAGGGAAUCUUCCGCAAUGGGCGGAAGCCUGACGGAGCCACGCCGCGUGAGUGAUGGAGGUCUUCGGAUCGUAAAACUCUGUUAUUAGGGAAGAACAUAUGUGUAAGUAACUGUGCACAUCUUGACGGUACCUAAUCAGAAAGCCACGGCUAACUACGUG